RNAcentral lists this ribosomal RNA (468 nucleotides) under uncultured bacterium. RNAcentral describes it as "partial 16S ribosomal RNA". It matches the Rfam family "Bacterial small subunit ribosomal RNA", at positions 28 to 507 of the family's 1533-position model. The record is from RNAcentral.
GACGAACGCUGGCGGCGUGCUUAACACAUGCAAGUCGAACGGACAGGCCCUGCUUUUGUGGGGUGCUCGAGUGGCGAACGGGUGAGUAACACGUGAGUAACCUGCCCUUGACUUUGUGAUAACUCCAGGAAACUCGGGCUAAUACCGGAUAGGAGCUCCUGCUGCAUGGGGGGGGUUGGAAAGUUUCGGCGGUUGGGGAUGGACUCGCGGGUUAUCAGCUUGUUGGUGGGGUAGUGGCUUACCAAGGCUUUGACGGGUAGCCGGCCUGAGAGGGUGACCGGCCACCUUGCGACUGAGAUACGGCCCAGACUCCAACGGGAGGCAGCAGUGGGGAAUAUUGCACAAUGGGCGGAAGCCUGAUGCAGCAACGCCGCGUGCGGGAUGACGGCCUUCGGGUUGUAAACCGCUUUCGCCUGUGACGAAGCGUGAGUGACGGUAAUGUGUAAAGAAGCACCGGCUAACUACGUG